CCUGCCCCUAGAGGGGUUAUGAGUGUGGCUGCUGUGUCACAUGUGCAUUAUUAGGUGCAUAAAGGAGAUGGGCUAUGUCUAUGCUCUGUGUUAUGACCUAUAAGUGUCUGAAUAAUUAGUGUAGCCUAACAUU
This is a small nucleolar RNA of Rattus rattus (black rat), 133 nucleotides long. RefSeq annotates it as small nucleolar RNA SNORA17. The record is from RefSeq and is a predicted model, not a curated record. The transcript has a single exon. NCBI's taxonomy places the organism in Eukaryota, Metazoa, Chordata, Mammalia, Rodentia, Muridae.